CUUGAGGGCUUGGCCCGUCACUGUCUUUUUUCUUUUUUCGGGUGGGGUGGAGAUGAGGGGGGCUAAGGGGCUACGGGGUGGAGGGCGUCGAGGACGGGAGUUGCUGCUGCACGGGCGGCGGGGCAGGGGUUGGCCGCCGCGGCGGCGGUGGUUGGGGGGUCGGUGCUGCGCAACACAUAUCCUCGGCCGCCCUACGAGGGCUUGAGGCCUAGGGCGCCUCUUUUUUUUUUCUCUUAGGGAGAGGGUUGGAAUAGGGGUGCGGCAAGAUUGGAGCGUGGGUACGGUGGUGGUGGAGGGAGGGGCCCGUCGUCCGCGGCGUCGGCGGCGUCGGCGGUGGAGGGAGGGGGCCGUCAUCCGCAGCAGCGGGUGUGGAGGAAGGCGGCCGUCUUCGUGACGGCGGGGGUAGAGGGAGGGGCGGUCUGCGUGGCAGCCGGGGUUGAAGGAGGGGCCGUCUUCGCGGCAGCGCUGAGGUGGAGGUCCGGCCCAGCGGUGCGCGGAGGUGGAGGGCCGAAGUGCCGCGACGGGGCAGCCAGAGGAGGCCGCCGGGGCAGCGGCAGGAAGAGGGCCUCGGGGUCGCGGGCCGCCGAAGGCAGCACGCGCGGUUAGUCCGGUGUGCCGGUGGGGGCAGCGGGAUCGUACGAACGAACCACCUCUGAUCCUCGUCGCUGUCUCUACGGCGGGGCGCCGGCUUGGGGACGGAGGCGAACCGAGGCAGGCGACGUCGUGUGGCCGAGAGGGGCAGCGGGUGGACGGUACAAGUACAGGUGUCCAUAUGAGACGUAAGCACACUUUAAUAAACUUUACUUCCUCUGCAAACCGACAUAACGGUCAAGUUCAAUUCAAGAGGGACGUCUAUGUAGUUAAAAAUAAAGGUACAUAACUCAAGAGAAUGUAUAAAGUAUACUACUACGUAGAGGGACCUAGUAUCGAUGUGGAAUGUUUGUUCCUCCGAAACUUUUUUUGGGUCCUACAUGUUUGAACUCAAUUCAAAGAAUCCGACCGCAUAGUUAAAGAGACAGUCAUGUGGUGAAUGGCUUGUCGGAGACGACGAUGAAGAAGUGGAGACAACAUCGAUCGACUACCACGAAGAAAAGUCGUCAAGUUCGAUGUUUACCUCGCAAGGUACGUCGUUGUAGUUGGGUUGCCCGUAUGCUACAGGCUGCUGCCGAUCCAAACCGCACGCAGAGAGGCCGCACGACCCGCACCACGGCUCUCACGACGUUAAGCUUCACCGACCCGUAAUUUAAAAUCUCUAACGAAAAAAUCAUGUAAGUCCCUUCAAAGAAAGAAGGAAAAACGUAAAACAGAUACGUGUAUGAAUCAAGUCUGAAGUCUCACCAAGACUGGAACCGAGGAGAGUGGACUUGUGAACGUGGUAAACAUUUUAUAUGUAUUUACUCACAGCAUUGAUCGUAAGUUUUUACUUAGGUCUUAUUCAUCCUUCUGUGGUGUUGGAGAAGGUACCCAAGGUCAUCGAGUUCGAAAAUUCUUUUAUGUAAACUGUGCUUCGAAAUAAGUAUGUCAACAUUAUCAAAAACUUCAUUAAAAUAGUGAAGACAUCGAAACGAAAAAAAAAACUUUACGAAACAAAACGUAUUGUUAACGAAACCGUCAUCGUUUUCCUUCAAAAGAGACCACCGUUCCCCGGUACGUCCGACAAAACAAUGAACGUUCCCUGGUACGUUCCUGGAUAGAUCGGCGAUUUGGUGUUGGCGAAGACCAGGCCGGCGGUAGUUGUGUGUGGCGGUGCCGGAUGACGACUGUGCUGGCGCGGAGGGGCUUCAGGUCCAACAAGGGGCUCGCUUGCACGUGGGAGUUGAGACAUCACGGACUCUUCGGUGUACCUUCGGGUUAGUACGCACGCAACCACAGGGGACUUAAGCAGUACCUCCAAAACUAAUCAAACCCAGUGAGGGGUGACGAGAAGAGGCACCGCCUAGGAGGAGACUGGCCGAAGGGGGUGGUGAUGACGUUAUGGAGGACUGAUGGGGGACGUAGUGGCCGUCGGCACCACCAGACGAGGAGGGCCUAACGUGAGUAGUCGUCCAGUUUGUGUUUCGAACACCGUCCAGCUGAUUUCUUCAACCUCGUUUUUUCCUCCGUGUUUUUUCAGUAAUGUCGUAGUAGGAAACUUCUUUCUUGUCUCUUGCAGGUCCACCAGAGAUGUAGUUACCUUCCUCCCGCUAGUUAGCCACGACGACGCUGCGACAGAAGUUGAGGACCUAGCCGCUUCUCCGCUCGACGAGUCCUAUCGGACCCCACCCUUGACUCCCGUACGCACUUCUUCUUGGCUCCACCUCGCGACUUCCGAGUGAACCCUACUCAGCGUGUUUUUUCCGUUUUUGUAGUUGUUUCUUCUACUGACUCUCGCGCUAGACGAGAAAUACGAAGGGAGACCACAUCGAGCUCAACUACCAAAAUGUCGACCGGAACGUACCAUCGUCUGCAAGAAAAAGGGACAAUUUUGACUAAGUCAGUCACCCGCGAACAAAUCGACAACGAAAUCGAAUCAACCAAAAGGCCAGACGGUAAAUCCCAUCGGGGCUAGCGAACAUUGUCAGGACCUCUGAACGCAACGAGGCAAAAAAAUAUUUUUACCCCGCCCCCUUUUGGGGAAAACUAGUUUU
Molecule: ribosomal RNA, 2627 nt
Filed under: Triticum aestivum (bread wheat)
Lineage: Eukaryota; Viridiplantae; Streptophyta; Magnoliopsida; Poales; Poaceae
Description: partial small subunit ribosomal RNA
Source: RNAcentral